This 271-nucleotide unclassified non-coding RNA is filed under the name fungal sp. RNAcentral describes it as "partial internal transcribed spacer region". The stretch from base 1 to 46 matches the Rfam family "Eukaryotic small subunit ribosomal RNA", at positions 1786 to 1831 of the family's 1831-position model. Lineage: Eukaryota; Fungi. The record is from RNAcentral.
AAGUCGUAACAAGGUUUCUGUAGGUGAACCUGCAGAAGGAUCAUUCAUGAAGCUUCCCGGAGAGGCCGUCCCGUUAAAAGGAUAGUCUCAAUGGGGCAAAUUAACACUGUGAACCUUAAAACACGUUGGUGUCCAUGUAGUGUUGGUGCGGGCUCUGCUUGCUUAACUUGUGCCAACCAAAAGCUGGAUGCUGGGGGCUAUAACUAACCUAUUUCAUUAUUGUCUAAAAACUUUUAAUAUACAACCUUUAACAAUGGAUCUCUUGGCUCCU